AGGACACCAUCUUCUUGCCAAACGCUACACCGCCCUGCCGCAGACCGGCGACGCUGCGGAGGGAUUUGUGAGCCCUGAGUCAAUUCUGCCAAGGCUGUAGGAGGAGGCUGGAGGAUAUGCGGAGGAUGGAGUCAGCGGUGUCAAGCCACAGAGGACUUUUAGAGGCAAAAGGGUACCACGGAAGAAAUUUAAAGCAAGGCUAUGAUAAAUGAUAUUUAGGUUUUAAGAAAAGAGUUCGAGUAGUUUCCUGGGCAAGAGGUGGUGGCCUGAUGUGGGAUGUUAAUUGUUGGGAGACAGAAAAGAGGUUCCAGAUUCAAGAAUCAUGAGGGAAUUAAAUCAAUAGGACAUGGUGAGGAUUAGGUGGGGUGAGGAGAGUGUGGAUCCUGGGGCCUGAGCUUCUUGGAGAAUGGUGUUGUUGCCAUCCAAGACAGACAAUGAGGAAGAACAGGUUUGUGGGGCAAAGGCUGAGCUCAGUUUAGGACAUGCUGAGUUGGAAGUACUAAGGCACAUUGGGUGGAGGUGGCCAAAUGUGCAGAUGAUUGGCUGUGUCUGAAGUCCUGUGGAGAAGCUGGGCUGGUGGUAGAGACUGGGAAGUUCUCAGAAUAGAGGUAGGUGAAACCGGGAGACAGAUGAGUUCACUAGAGAUGGGGGAGAAGAAACAGAACUCAGGAAGGAAACAGAGAAGGAACAGUUAAGGAAGAAUGGAGGAAACUAGGGGAGUGUGUUGUCAUGGGUACCAAGGAGGAGUUUCUAGAAGGAGGAAGUGAUCAGCCACAUCAAACACAGUAAGAAAGUUCUAAAUACACAAGGGCUGAAAAAAUAGCCUCAAUUUUGGCAAUGCCAAAGUCACAGUGACCCCAGGCUGACAUCACCCAGCAUCAUCCAGAUGUCAGCCCCUUGUAUUCAAAUGGCUCACAUUUAGGUGAUCGCUCACGGUCAUUCUCACGUCUUCCUUGUCUCCUUCAAAGUUUAAACCGUUUUAUUUGCUGGUGCCCUGGCUGACUCUGAAAUUGUGGACACACAAUGGCUAUCUUCCAUGUUUAUCACUCAGGGCCCUUUCUAUUUGCCACUGUCACCUCAGAGUCAGCCCAGGCCAGCGCAGACGUAGGUGCAGGCAUCCAUGAGUGAAAAUGGGUUAGCUCACUAUGGGGUUUCCCUCCCAGUGUUGGGGAUCACCUUUGUUUUCCUUUCCUCUCUGGAUCAGGCCAAUGUCCACCUCGUCGUCAUGAAGUAAUGCUGGUUGCUACUGGUAGUGGUGCCCCUGCCAGCCCCUGUUUCCCCACCUUAGGUCCUGGUGUCUCCAUGAUGCGUGGACACAAACUGAUGAGUUGUCUCCAGGGAGAGCUGGAUCCACAAGCUGAGGAUGUCUCUUUGCCCAGUCUGGUUCUACUGUAUUGGAGGUUCGAAGCUCUAGGGAAAAAUACAGGAGACAAUAAGCCACCAUCACCUGUGGGAACUAGAAGAGCUCUAACAGUGGCACUCUCUGGACCCAGAGGGUGGAUGUUGCCCCUCCAAUGACAGCCAUCCACCUGGCCUGCCUCCGGCAGCUGUAAUGGAGAUGCUCAUACCCUCCCCAGACGGCCACAACAGGGAGCUUGCCAAGGUUUCUCUAUCACUGCGGUGGGCACUGUACAGAUGGAAUCCCACAUGUUGGGCAAAAGAUCAGGAUCCUUUUUGAUCUCCUGCACAGCAAACUCCAGAGCUGCAGCCUGUUGAUAGUUUCUGUGGAGACACUUGCAGUUUAGAGACAAUAUCAUAAUUAAGAACUUUCUUGAAAAUACAACUUGACCUCCAUGUGUCUGUGGGCUGGUUCCUUUUUAAACUUUAAGAUACCAGAAAUUAUGAGAUGUUAUCUCUUCAGACAUUAUAAAUAGUGUUUU
This 1880-nucleotide long non-coding RNA is filed under the name Equus caballus (horse). Its description in RNAcentral is "lncRNA (ENSECAG00000058163.1)". Lineage: Eukaryota; Metazoa; Chordata; Mammalia; Perissodactyla; Equidae. The record is from RNAcentral.